GGUUGAGAACGCACUUUGUUCGAGAUCGGCGGGAAGACGAAGAAGACCUGACCGUCACAGAUCUGGUGCCCAAUAGUACUUAUGAUACCAUUUGCUACGCCAGUCUUCUCUGGUUCUCUUUUUGUGACCAGUCCCCACAAGAGCAAUGUCCCUCCACGCAUAAGAUGGGA
This 170-nucleotide non-coding RNA is filed under the name Palpitomonas bilix. The record is from RNAcentral.